GUUGAUAUGUCCGAGUGGUUAAGGAGAUAGACUUGAAAUUUGUUGGGUUUUGCUUGCGCUGGUUCAAAUCCUACUGUCGACG
Molecule: transfer RNA, 82 nt
Filed under: Ipomoea nil (Japanese morning glory)
Lineage: Eukaryota; Viridiplantae; Streptophyta; Magnoliopsida; Solanales; Convolvulaceae
Rfam family: tRNA
About the family: Transfer RNA (tRNA) molecules are approximately 80 nucleotides in length. Their secondary structure includes four short double-helical elements and three loops (D, anti-codon, and T loops). Further hydrogen bonds mediate the characteristic L-shaped molecular structure. tRNAs have two regions of fundamental functional importance: the anti-codon, which is responsible for specific mRNA codon recognition, and the 3' end, to which the tRNAs corresponding amino acid is attached (by aminoacyl-tRNA synthetases). tRNAs cope with the degeneracy of the genetic code in two manners: having more than one tRNA (with a specific anti-codon) for a particular amino acid; and 'wobble' base-pairing, i.e. permitting non-standard base-pairing at the 3rd anti-codon position.
Source: Rfam by way of RNAcentral